AGGAGCAACAGCCCCAGUGGCGGGGCCAGCUCUGGAGCCCUGGAGUCAGCCUCGGCUGUAACUCCGGAGCUCUCCUCUGCAGGGGCCUGGAGGCUCCGGGGCGGG
This 105-nucleotide microRNA precursor is filed under the name Canis lupus familiaris (dog). Its description in RNAcentral is "mir-8834 microRNA precursor family". It matches the Rfam family "mir-8834 microRNA precursor family". Lineage: Eukaryota; Metazoa; Chordata; Mammalia; Carnivora; Canidae. The record is from Rfam by way of RNAcentral.